CCUACGGGAGGCAGCAGUGGGGAAUAUUGCACAAUGGGCGCAAGCCUGACCCAGCAACGCCGCGUGAAGGAAGAAGGCUUUCGGGUUGUAAACUUCUUUUCUGAGGGACGAAGAAAGUGACGGUACCUCAGGAAUAAGCCACGGCUAACUACGUGCCAGCAGCCGCGGUAAUACGUAGGUGGCAAGCGUUAUGCGGAUUUAUUGGGUGUAAAGGGCGUGUAGGCGGGAAAGUAAGUCAGAUGGGAAAGCUCAGGGCUCAACCCUGAGCCUGCAUUUGAAACUGUUUUGCUUGAGUGCUGGAGAGGCAAUCGGAAUUCCGUGUGUAGCGGUGAAAUGCGUAGAUAUCCGGAGGAACCCCAGUGGCGAAGGCGGAUUGCUGGACAGUAACUGACGCUGAGGCGCGAAAGCGUGGGGAGCAAACAGGAUUAGAUACCCCAGUAGUC
Molecule: ribosomal RNA, 443 nt
Filed under: uncultured bacterium
Lineage: Bacteria
Description: partial 16S ribosomal RNA
Rfam family: Bacterial small subunit ribosomal RNA
Source: RNAcentral